Molecule: ribosomal RNA, 573 nt
Filed under: uncultured fungus
Lineage: Eukaryota; Fungi
Description: eukaryotic LSU rRNA
Rfam family: Eukaryotic large subunit ribosomal RNA
Source: RNAcentral
CCCGCUGAACUUAAGCAUAUUACUAAGCGGAGGAGAAGAAAUUAACUAAGAUUGCCUUAGUAAGGGCGACUGAACCGGCAAAAGCUCGAAAUUAAAAUCGGAAAUUCAAUGAAUUUUCGAAUUGUAAUCAGGGUGCCCAAAAUACGUGAAGUCGUCUAAUGGUAUCGAAAGACCUGCCAAAGAGGGUGAAAGCCCCGUGCGAUGAUUUCACGAACGCGGGAACUCGAAAAAGAGUCGUGUUGCUUGGAACUGCAGCACUAAGCGGGAGAUAUGAUUCUUCCAAAGCUAAAUAUGGAUGGGAGACCGAUAGAGAACAAGUACUGUGAAGGAAAGAUGAAAAGGACUUUGAAAAGAGAGUGAAAAGAUCUGAAAUCGUUGAGAAGGAAGCGGUUAAAGCUGAUCGAGGUUAUGACAGCGCAACGCGGCCAAAAGUCGCAGAGUGCUGACCAAAAGCCCUGGACAAAAUGAAGUCAGACGGACUAAAAAAGGUGCAAGCCGAAUUGAGCCUGCCUGACUUGAGGGACUAAUGUGAUUUUGUCUAAAAGGCUUUAACCGUCCCGUCUUGAAACACGG